Molecule: ribosomal RNA, 272 nt
Filed under: uncultured bacterium
Lineage: Bacteria
Description: partial 16S ribosomal RNA
Rfam family: Bacterial small subunit ribosomal RNA
Source: RNAcentral
GCCUACGGGGGGCAGCAGUGAGGAAUAUUGGUCAAUGGACGAGAGUCUGAACCAGCCAAGUAGCGUGAAGGAUGACUGCCCUAUGGGUUGUAAACUUCUUUUAUAUGGGAAUAAAAUGUUCCACGUGUGGGAUUUUGUAUGUACCAUAUGAAUAAGGAUCGGCUAACUCCGUGCCAGCAGCCGCGGUAAUACGGAGGAUCCGAGCGUUAUCCGGAUUUAUUGGGUUUAAAGGGAGAGUAGGUGGAUUGUUAAGCCAGUUGUGAAAGUUUGCG